Molecule: unclassified non-coding RNA, 228 nt
Filed under: Hevea brasiliensis (rubber tree)
Lineage: Eukaryota; Viridiplantae; Streptophyta; Magnoliopsida; Malpighiales; Euphorbiaceae
Source: RNAcentral
AUGGGAUAAGCAUUAUCAUAUCAUCAGCAAUGUCACAUUUUAUUUAGCAUCAUAUCAUAUAUUUACGUUUUUUUCUCCACUAACAGGCUUCAAAAUCUGAAAGGAGCACAUCAGAGAUUCAUCUAUGCUCAUCACAGCACCAGCAUUAUCAUAUUCACCACGAUGGCAGGGAGCUGAAAAAAUAGUGACAAGCUGUUUAUCUGCAAAGAAUUCAUACCCAUCCUCCAC